CUAAGGUGUAUAGGCGAAAGCCUUACACAAAACAUGCGCACGCCACUCACUAUUUAGUUUUGAGGGAGCAAGGUCUCAAAGCAGGCCGCUUGAGCGUUCAUUGCCUUCAGUCUAGGACUCCUUAGACUGAUUUUCUUUCUCAAGAGGGGGCCUAUAGCUCAGUUCCGGUCAGAGCGUACGCCUGAUAAGCGUGAGGUCGUUGGUUCGAUUCCAACUAGGCCCACCACGACCUGACGGGGGUGUAGCUCAGAUGGAAGAGCGCCUGCUUUGCACGCAGGGGGUCAUCGGUUCGAAUCCGUUCACCUCCACCAUACAAGCUUUAAGCUAUGAGCUGUAAGCAAUAAGCAAAAGCAAAACACAGUUUAUAGUUUAACGGGGGGUUAACAACCCCAAUGCUCUUUGACAAGUGAAGCAAGAAGAGAGAUGUCCUUAGGAGUUCCCCAAGACAAGGGGCUUAU
Molecule: transfer RNA, 458 nt
Filed under: uncultured Chloroflexota bacterium
Lineage: Bacteria; Bacillati; Chloroflexota
Description: uncultured Chloroflexi bacterium 16S-23S ribosomal RNA intergenic spacer
Rfam family: tRNA (bases 148-223)
Source: RNAcentral